Molecule: long non-coding RNA, 351 nt
Filed under: Olea europaea subsp. europaea
Lineage: Eukaryota; Viridiplantae; Streptophyta; Magnoliopsida; Lamiales; Oleaceae
Source: RNAcentral
UAAAUACAAAAUCAAAUUAUGUCCAAGGAUUAGGCUUCCAUCUCUGGAAGCACAGGAGCACGUUCUUUUGCCGAAAUUAUUACCAGUAUUCGAUACUGGGUCAUUCAUAGUAUUACUAUAUCUUCCCUAUCUAUUGCACGUUGGUUAUUUCUCAGUAUCGGUUUAGCUUAUGAUGUAUUUGGAAGCCCUCGGCCAAACAAAUAUUUUACAGAGAACCGACAAGGAAUUCCAUUAAUAACUGGCCGUUUUGAUCAUUUGGAACAACUCGAUGAAUUUAAUAGAUCGUUUUAGGAGGCCCAGGGAAAGCCAACAGAAAGAUUCGAUAUUCGAUUCUGACUUUUGUAGAGCCGG